This 75-nucleotide transfer RNA is filed under the name Dendropoma nebulosum. RNAcentral describes it as "tRNA-Lys". The record is from RNAcentral. Lineage: Eukaryota; Metazoa; Mollusca; Gastropoda; Littorinimorpha; Vermetidae.
UCUCUGAUGGCUGAGAGUUCAAAUAAGCGCUAAAUUUUUAAUUUAGAGACAGUCCGUGAAAAGGUCUUCAGAGAA